This 956-nucleotide long non-coding RNA is filed under the name Homo sapiens (human). RNAcentral describes it as "HSALNT0083831". Lineage: Eukaryota; Metazoa; Chordata; Mammalia; Primates; Hominidae. The record is from RNAcentral.
CGCUUUUGCAAAGAACAUGUUGGUGGAAACAUGUUCCACAUGUCAGUGGUUACCCUGAUUCUUUGAAUUUAAUGGUGGGGCUGGCAAAGAAAGCUGGAGCAUUUGGGAAGCCUGAAGCCUGCCCUUCCUGGCAGCAUCAGAAAGCAAGGGGAGAUGUUGGUGUACAGGCAAAAGUCAGCUCUCAACACAGGUGAUGGAGGACUGUGUAUGUAGCCAGGGAUAAAGAAUCCAGGAGGGGCCUGAAGAUGGGUGGAACCAAUGAAAUGAAUCAUCCCAGGUGUAUCAUCUCUUGUUUGGAAAUAUCCUAGCCCAUUCCUACCUUCCUUUUGUUUAAACCACCUCCUUUUCUGAAUGGCUGUGCCUUUUCAUUCUUGUCUUCUGAUCAUGCACGGACUCCGGCUCCCAGCUUGACCUGAGCGUUUGCAGGAAGCACACUAAGGUUUGGGGCUCUCUAGAGACACGGUUUUGACUCCAGGGCUGGAGGAAACAUCACUACCAGAAGUGGAUGUAUACUUCGAGGAGGAAGGUCUUGGAUUUCCAGGGAGUAGGCGGUCAUCUGUGCCGCAGACUCUAAGCCUGGUGCUUGAUGGGAAUGUGGGGACAGAUAACGCCCAAGGAAAUUACAGGAGUAAGAGGGUUAUCUGGAGCAGGAAAACGUGCCAGAACCUUUCUCAAGAGCCUCCUGAAGACUUCAGGACUCUGGACAGGCCACCUGCUGAAGGACACUGACCCCAGCAGCGGUGUCUCCACCAAGAAAGGAACAGUGAGCAAUGAACAGCACCGAUUCCUACACUGAGCCUCUGUGACCUGUGGACUUUGUUUCAAAACAGCUUGUGUGGGCUUCCUUUUGUCCAUAAAAGCUUCCCCUUUGUCCCGGCCCCCUUGCUAGGACUGUGAUCAUCGUAGAAUGCACAUCCCAAGUUGUGGCUCCCUCCACUAUUUCCAAAUAAACUUUC